RNAcentral lists this ribosomal RNA (484 nucleotides) under uncultured bacterium. RNAcentral's name for it is "partial 16S ribosomal RNA". It matches the Rfam family "Bacterial small subunit ribosomal RNA", at positions 30 to 507 of the family's 1533-position model. The record is from RNAcentral.
AUUGAACGCUGGCGGCAGGCCUAACACAUGCAAGUCGAGCGGAUGAAGGGAGCUUGCACCUGGAUUCAGCGGCGGACGGGUGAGUAAUGCCUAGGAAUCUGCCUGGUAGUGGGGGAUAACGUCCGGAAACGGGCGCUAAUACCGCAUACGUCCUGAGGGAGAAAGUGGGGGAUCUUCGGACCUCACGCUAUCAGAUGAGCCUAGGUCGGAUUAGCUAGUUGGUGGGGUAAAGGCCUACCAAGGCGACGAUCCGUAACUGGUCUGAGAGGAUGAUCAGUCACACUGGAACUGAGACACGGUCCAGACUCCUACGGGAGGCAGCAGUGGGGAAUAUUGGACAAUGGGCGAAAGCCUGAUCCAGCCAUGCCGCGUGUGUGAAGAAGGUCUUCGGAUUGUAAAGCACUUUAAGUUGGGAGGAAGGGCAGUAAGUUAAUACCUUGCUGUUUUGGCGUUACCAACAGAAUAAGCACCGGCUAACUUCGUG